Molecule: unclassified non-coding RNA, 1608 nt
Filed under: Hevea brasiliensis (rubber tree)
Lineage: Eukaryota; Viridiplantae; Streptophyta; Magnoliopsida; Malpighiales; Euphorbiaceae
Source: RNAcentral
GUCUAUAUAGGGUAAAAAUGAAGCAUAAGAGAACACCAAGGCACUUUUUGUGUAAAUGCAGUUUUCUUUUUUCCAAAAAAGAAAAAUUACAGCAUGUUAAGAGCAUGAAAAUAUAACAUAUAUAACAAUUGUUAAAACUUUAUUUGCUUAACUAUAAUAAUAAAACCAGAAGAACAUCAAGAACAUUGCCUAAUGGAUGAGAAACAAGCAUGCACAAAUAUGCAUAGAUUCAAUUGAAAGGACUUGGAUUAAGGGAAGCAAAAGCAAAGAGCUCUUUAUCUUUCUCCAAUAUGGCAAUGUCUUCUUCUCCCAGGAGCAACCAUGCUUCUAUUCCUUUCUCCAUUCUUGCAUCCAUAAGCACUACUUUAUUCAAGAAUUGUGUUGUAGAAUCAUCUGAUAAACCAACACCAGACACCCACAUGGGCUUUCCCCAUCCAAAAUCAACAUCAUAUAGACCAAAGUUACACCAACUGCUAAUCGUUACAUAAUCCACUGCGCUGGAAAAUACUCUGCCGAUCUCUUUAACCCUGUCAUAAACAGUGAUAAUUCCUCCAUCACCUUGUACAUUCUUCGCAAAGUUACUGUCAAUUUUCCUAAUUGCUUCCCUCAUUUUGCACACUAGGCUACUUAGUUUGGCUUCCUCGGGUAAGGAUCGUACAUGUGCCAUCCAAACAAAGUUUCCCAUUGAAGUUUCUGGGAAUGGAGGCAAAGCUCUUCUCCUCAAAUUCACAGCAUGGGCGAAUAUAAUUGGCCCAUGAUAGAUGCUUGAUUUUGCCUGAAGCAUAGUCGUGAUGCGUUCGCUAAGAAAUGCAGGCACUACCUCAACACGAGUUGGAUUUUUCAUGCUUGAGCUUGUAGCUUGAGCCUUGAGACUGGCAAUAGCAGAUGCCUCGAAUACAAGCCUCUGGAUAGCAAGCUUACUGUCAUGUGAUUAGUGCAACCACUAUCAAUUAGCCACACAUCUUCAGCUUUAAUUGAAACAUCACAUUUUUUUAAUUUCUGUAGCAGCAAACGACUCUUCAUGAUUUUCUAAGUUUUCAGUAGCUUGUGCAAGCUAAGCUUGUGGAUGCAGGUUUUGAUUUGAUGUUCAUACCUUCUCAUUGUGACCAAAUUGUUUGCAGGUCUUACAUUGAGCUCCAGGCCUAUGCCAACAAUAAUUCUCACAGUGCAUACUUAUCUUGUGAAAAGUUUGUGCCUUUCCUUCUACCAUUCUUGUUGUUACUGUCCUUCUUAUCAACUUGCUGGUUCUUUGAUCCUCCUUCAUGUGAUCUUUAUUUUUGGGAUGCAACAAGUGCUUGCUCUCCAAUACUCUCUUCUUCUCUAAAUGCUCUUCUCUGCUCAACGACUUGUAAAGCAUUUGAAAGCCCAGUUAAAGAUAUUGGAGACAUGUCCCAGGAGUCUUCAAGAGAAGAAAGUUUCACUCCAUAUUUUUCAAGAAGAGUUAAUGUAACCUUCUCCACAAUCUUCUUCUCUUCCAACUCUUCUCCUAACAACCUGAUUUUAUUUACUACUUUCAUAGCCCUGUCAACAUAAUCCUUCACCUUUUCAGUGUUCUUCAUCCUCAAUAGCUCAAACUCUUUUAUCAAAUUAAACACUUGCAUCUGCCUU